UUAAUUUUUCAUGAGAUUUUGGGAUUAGUCUUUGAGUUAUAUUGUCAUUAUUUUUAAGACAAGAAAGUGAAUGAAAUCAUCUUGAGCUUUGUGAAGUUUUCAAAAGAAAAGGCUCAAGAAUUAAGACAUGACUCUCUCAGAAUUAAGGUUACAUGUUCUACAAGGUACAUAAUUUUAGGUUUCUUUUCAAGGGAAUUAGUUUACAUAUAAUGAGAAUAUUUUUUAUUGUAAAAUAAAAAUAAUUCUAAGGGGAGAUGCUGCCGAAAUUUGGUUAUAAAAUUGAAGUAUUUACAAGGGGAUACUCUUCUAAAAUAGAUAGAGAAAUUGAGAAAAAUAAAAAGGGAGAUUUUAACGAAGUAAAUACUCGAGGUUAAAAAGUGAGUGGAGAGGUUUGAAUUGAUUGUGUAGGACCUAAGGCAAGUGGAUCUUAUGGCUUUACUAGCGCUAGGUAGUUUUUGACAUAUUUCAAUAUAUAUAUAAGUGAAUUUGUGGUAUUAAUUGUAUGUGGUUUUAAGUAUUUGAUUGAUGUUGAUUUUGAUAAAACAUGUGUUGAUUUUAAGAAGGUUGUGGUGAUGUGGUUUCAAACAUGGAUCUUGUUUUGUGUGCAUCAUCAAUUAUAGAGAAGGGAUGUUCAGCUCCUACCUGCAUUAUGCUAAGUAGUGAUAUGCAUUGAGCACAUAGGGAGGUGGGUGGAGUUGUGAGAGCUAUGAAUGCCCAGUCGGUUCUGUGUCUCCGGGUUAUUAGUGGGCCUAUAAUCUCUUGUGUUAUGGAUCAUGGUGUAUGUGACAAGUGAUUGAGCCAAUAAUUAGUGUAAAAGGGGUGUGGGUUACCGAACCUUCAUAACAGCGUAUGACUCAUUGUAUAAUAUAACACUAUGACCUUAAUAUCAUGGAUUUGAGAUAUUAAACUGUAUAAGAUAUAUAUGAUUUUAAUAUGUUUAAAAACUUCUAUAUAUUGUAUGUAUUAAGUUGUGUUGUCAUAAUUUUUGUUUAUUGGGAUUCUGUAUCUCUCUUCUAUAUCAUUUUUUAGAUAUUGUGAGAGCUAUGAAUGGGAGGUGGGUGGAUUUGUGAGAGCUAUGAAUGCGCAGUCGGUUCUGUGUCUCCGGGGUAUUAGUGGGCCCAUAAUCUCUUGUGUUAUGGAUCAGGGUGUAUGUGACAAGUGAUUGAGCCAAUAUUUAGUGUAAAAGGGGUGUGGGUUACCGAACCUUCAUAACAGCGUAUGGCUCAUUGUAUAAUACAACACUAUGACCUUAAUAUCAUGAAUUUGAGAUAUUAAACUGUAUAAGAUAUAUAUGAUUUUAAUAUGUUUAAAAACUUCUAUAUAUUGUAUGUAUUAGGUUGUGUUGUCAUAAUUUUUGUUUAUUGGGAUUCUGUAUCUCUCUUCUAUAUCAUUUUUUAGAUAUUGUGAGAGCUAUGAAUGGGAGGUGAGUGGAUUUGUGAGAGCUAUGAAUGCGCAGUCGGUUCUGUGUCUCCGGGGUAUUAGUGAGCCCAUAAAGAGUAAGCGAUAAUACAGAAAAUGACCUUUUUGAAGUUAGCAUCAAGGUUACUAUUUGGUAUUGUUAUAUUUUUGUAUUAAGGAAAAGAAAAUUCGUGUUGUCCAUAUUUGAUGUACAUAUGUAAGUUUUCUACCCACUCUUGUAUUAAUAAAAGUUAUGAUAUUGUUUACUUAAAUUAAGUAUUAUCUUUGGAUCAUAUUUUAUGAGAGGGGUAUGGGCUGCAACAUUCUUAUUUUAAAAAUAAGUUGUAUGUAUUUCGAUAAAAUAUUUAUUAUUUUUUGUUAAAAAAUUUGAUAAUCACAUAGGUUUACUAUAAAUAUUUUUAAAAAAUUUAUUUUGUUAGAUAUGUUAUUAUAUUCAAGUGAAUAUAGAAAAAAUGUUUAAAUAAAUUUAUUAGAUAAAAGAAUUGAUAGCUUAAAAAAAACUAGGAAUGGGGGGGGGGGGUGCUUACGUUUUGGAAGUUAUCUUUAAAAACUAACGAGCAACAUAAUUUAAGUUACUAAAAACUAUUUAUUGGCAUAAAAUAGAUAUUCCAAUUAAUUCCAACUAUCAAUAGAUAUUUAUUUGCCAGUGUGUUUAUUUCAUAAAUUUAGAGACAAUAUUUUGCUUAUUCAAUUAAUCUGAAGAAAAUGAAUUGAUGUACUACGAGUUCAUGCACUUUACAAUACAAAUUUAUUUUGUAUGCAAAAACAUCCUAGUUGUUGUCUUAGUGAGGGUUUGCUCACUUCUUAUUGUUUAGUGCGCUCGUUUACGUAAUAAUUUGGAUCGAGUGUUGUUUUUCUGUCCAAAUCUGAACUGUCUUUUAUAUUUAACUAUUAUACUAAAAUAUAAACAUAUAACAAAAUUUGCACUAGGAUGAUUACCAUCAAAACUUAGAGAAAAUUUUUAAAUGUCUUAAUUUUUACAAUUUUUGUAACACCCAAAACUUUUUAUUUUAUUAUUAUUGAAAUUUUAUUUUAUUUUAAUAAUUAAUUUAUAAGGUUUUAAUUUAAUUUAAUAGAAAUAAAAACAAUAAUAAUGAUAAAAUGAGGUAUAAUGAUAAAAUUUGGUAAAAUUAUUUUUGAGAUUUAAUUUAAAAUAAUUUUGGGAAAAAAAUGUGAAAAUUUAGAUUCUACGAGUAUUUUUUUUAAAAAAAUAAAAAAUCAGGGGUCAAAAUGUAAUUUAGAAAAAAUUGCGCAACAUCAGCAGCCCGGUUAGCAGUUCCUGGCUAACCAGGACACGCUGCGUGGCAGGGACGUUGACGCAGAAAGCCACGCGGGGACGGAGACACGUGGGCAAUCCGCGUGCG
RNAcentral lists this long non-coding RNA (2783 nucleotides) under Carica papaya (papaya). RNAcentral's name for it is "long non-coding RNA (CPAP_LNC015174)". Lineage: Eukaryota; Viridiplantae; Streptophyta; Magnoliopsida; Brassicales; Caricaceae. The record is from RNAcentral.